Molecule: RNA transcript, 1710 nt
Organism: Gossypium raimondii (Peruvian cotton)
Lineage: Eukaryota; Viridiplantae; Streptophyta; Magnoliopsida; Malvales; Malvaceae
Exons: 8
Source: RefSeq, a predicted model, not a curated record
CCCUCCAUUAAAAGCCCAAAAAGCUCUGAAAUGAUGUUAGGUGACUUGUUGGUGAUGCUUGGGGAGUUCUUCGAAGUGGCGGGAAACUAAAGUAGUAUUUGGCGCCAAGGGAAACUCCAUUUUAUGUUUGAUAGGUUUUCCAAAUUCCAACUCAUUUGAGAACAAGCCCAAAAGAUCGAAUUAUUUGUUCAAAUUGUGGGGAAAAAAGGAAGUGAAAUCAAUGACUUCUUCACCGCCUCCAAAGCGAAGGCGAAAAGGGCAAACCGUUGACACAGAAUCACCGUCGAAAUCAGCGUUGACCCAAGACAAUUCAUCCCCUUUGAUAGUCUUCGCUCAUGGCGCUGGUGCUCCUUCCUCUUCUGAUUGGAUGAUCAGAUGGAAAGAAAUGCUAAAGAAGGCUUUGAAUGCUGUUGAAGUAGUGACAUUUGAUUACCCUUAUAUGUCUGAGGGAAAAAGAAGAUCUCCGCCCAAGGCAGAAAAAUUGGUAGAUUUUCACACAAAUGUUGUCAAAAAUGCAGUUUCUAAAUAUCCUGGGCAUCCUUUGAUUUUGGCUGGCAAAUCAAUGGGUUCAAGAAUCAGCUGCAUGGUGGCUGGAAGGGAAGACAUUUCUCCAUUGUUAAUUGUUUGCCUAGGAUACCCGCUUAAGGGUAUGAAUGGAGCAGUGAGAGAUGAAACUCUGCUUCAACUUAAAGUUCCUGUGAUGUUUGUGCAGGGUACCAAAGAUGGUCUCUGCCCCUUGGAAAAACUAGAAGCUGUUAGGAAGAAAAUGAAGACAAUGAGUGGGUUGCACGAGAUCGAGAGUGGUGAUCACUCGUUCAAGAUUUCAAAAAAGCACCUCCAAACCAAGGGAUCAACCCAAGAGGAAGCUGAAGAUGCAGCUGUUCAGGCCAUUGCAUCAUUUUUCACCAGGUCUCUGAGAUGAAGGUGAAUCAAAGCCGUAAUCCUUUUUUGUCUAAGUUUGUUUAAUGCCUUUAGCCUUUGUUUGUUCUAAGGAUUGCUAAGGCCCAAGGUUCAAAUGCUCCCUUUUUCCCUUGGCCCUCUACUAUUGGCGGAGCAAGUUGUUCUCAUUCUCAUCUACUAUAUCCUCACUACAGUGUUUAGAUGUGAACUGAGAAGCUUAUCAUUCUUGAGGUUUUUUUUAAAGACGGCUUAAUCAAUCCCCGAUAGGAACAACAACGAUAGUCACAACGGUGGAUGAAGGAACUGCAGGAGGAACGAUGGGGAUUGAGGCAGAGGGAAUGGUGGCGGCAAUUGAUUGUGGUAGCCAACAAAAUAGACGAACAACUGCAAAUUGGUCUGAACUUGAACGUGGAUUUGAAUAGUUUCUCAAUGGAUCGAGAGAGCUUCGACGGUGGCGGCGGAGGAGGAGCGCAGUGGACUAAAUGAGGCAUGGACAUUGUUCUGGAAUGGACUAUUGCUGAGUUGAGCUGCCGAUUGAAAGCGUUAAAUUCGAACGAGUCGUAAAGGGUGCUACCGCAAUCCCAUAUAAGAUUAUUGCCCUCUGAGUUUUGCUUUUUCUUUUGUUCGCGUUUUUCUUGGGAUUUCUCCAUUUUAUUUUCUCGGAAAACAGAACAAAAAAAGAAGUAGAUGACGAGAUUUUGUUUAAAUUUUUUUUUCUAUUACAAGAGCUUCUUAUGUUUGGUUUUCCAAUUGUCGGUACACUCGGUAUAAUAAAACGUGUAGGUUCUGAGUUACUACGUUCCAGAGAAA